Molecule: ribosomal RNA, 253 nt
Filed under: uncultured bacterium
Lineage: Bacteria
Description: partial 16S ribosomal RNA
Rfam family: Bacterial small subunit ribosomal RNA
Source: RNAcentral
UACGUAUGGGGCAAGCGUUGUUCGGAAUUAUUGGGCGUAAAGGGCACGCAGGUUGUCUAGUAAGUUGGUGGUUUAAUCUCAGGGCUCAACCCUGAACCGGCCAUCAAAACUGCCAGACUAGAGUGCGAGAGGGGAUAGCGGAAUUCUCGGUGUAGCGGUGGAAUGCGUAGAUAUCGAGAGGAACACCAAUGGCGAAGGCAGCUAUCUGGCUCGCAACUGACACUCAUGUGCGAAAGUGCGGGGAGCAAACAGG